AGCCCUAAUUACAAAUACCAAUCUCACAAAUAUGACGGUGUACGGUAAACUUCGGACGACAACUUUCGUUCGCGAUACGGACCAUUUUUUCUAUCUGGUCCUUGGGUAGGGUCGUGGCAUAUUUCACCUUCUGCGUUACACGAACUUGAUAGAAUUGGCACGAAAUGCCCCAUAUACGUAAGUGAUGCAUAGAUAGCGAAUACAUCAUCACGUUCAUACGAAGAGGUGGAAAUGUGAGAAUUUAAUACCGCAGAACGCGUUUAUAAUACGAAUCGUUUUGAAAGAAAUGAUAUAUUAAUCCACCAGCUGAGCUGCAUUAUAGCAGCGAUAUACGAGUCUAUAUCUAGGUAUACGUGAGUCACAUUUUUAUCUCAACCUCGAAAAUCCUGCCAACUGUAGGGGCGAAGUUGAAAGGAUUGUGAAAUGAAAGUUUGGAAUUUGAAUGAGGAUUUUAUUUUGUACUUGUUCGGCGUCAUUCACUGGACAGGAGAGAAAAGAGGGGGUUAAACUACAUCAGAAGCAGCAGCAAACACGAUACAAAAAUUCUGGAAUCUGGAUUUCGAUUCGGAAAGAAUUUAGAACCAGCCGGUCAAUGCUUGGUCACCCUUCGCUGCUUAACGACUGUAUAGCGUGAUUUAGAAGUAUCCACGUGCUCGCAGUAAUACACCAUAACCAUACAACGGCACAAACGGCACAAGCGACAACCUAUGCCGAAUGCCACACCUGACAAUUCGGGGCCCUGUCAUCCGCAUACUGGCGCCAUUCACAUUCGAAAACAUUUUCCAACCAGAGGUCAAACUAUAAUGGGAUAUUCGGUAGUGGUUUGGUUGCACAGAAAUCGUUUGCACAGGUUUCAUCUCUGGAGAAACUUUGUGCGCAGGGAUCGUUUGCGCGGACGAAAUUUCAAGUCAAGUACGUCUGCACAGAACUAGAUUGGCGGGAUUGUCUGGACAGAAUUCGUAUUUGUGCACAAAAUGGAGAACGGAUUCUGCGCAAACGAAGCUACGGAGGUGCGUACGUUUGCCCAUAUACAACGAAAACGGAUUCUGUGCAAACGAACUUAAGAACUUGUGUCUGCACGUAUAACGUGAAAACGGAUUGAAAAUCGAAAACGAAAAACGAACCUACAGAGGUUUGUUUGCACAGAAGCGUUUUCGACGCAUAUGUGCAGAUGUGCCUCCGAAUGUUCGUUUGCGCAGAAUCCGUUCUCCAUUUUGUGCACAAAUACGAAUUCCGUCCAGACGAUCCCGCCAAUCUUAUAGUUCUGUGCAGACCUACCUGACUCGAAGUUUGUCUGCGCAAACGAUCCCCGGGCAGAAAAAUUGUAGAGAUGAAUCCUGUGCAGACGAUCAAUUUCUGUGCAAACGAACCUCACCUGAUAGAAUAUUUGUGAAGUUGAAAGAAUGACACGUUAUUCAGGUGAAAGAGGUUACUCUAUUACUUCAGAAGACGAAACUUAGUUUUCGACAUUUGAUAAAAAGAGGAAGAAGAUGUUUGAUGAUAAAAAAUUAUUCUUAUAACACGAAAUUUUCGUGAACAUUAAUAGAUUUAUGUACGACGCUGAGUUUUCUAGCCCUUGUGGAUUAGCGUAGAAAUAAUUUUUUUUAAUCUUUCAGUUAUUCGUUCAAUUAUUUUUCCAUUACCUGUAACACGGGGUCAUCUCCGCAGCGUUUGAUGGUCACUUCACAACGCACGGUUUACAUACGUU
This is a long non-coding RNA of Athalia rosae (coleseed sawfly), 1708 nucleotides long. RefSeq lists it as uncharacterized. The transcript is spliced from 3 exons. The record is from RefSeq and is a predicted model, not a curated record. NCBI's taxonomy places the organism in Eukaryota, Metazoa, Arthropoda, Insecta, Hymenoptera, Athaliidae.